AGCCACAAAAACAAAUCGCAAUACUCAAAAUAAAACACAACAAAACAAAAACCCAGCAUAUCCGAAAAGGAACAGAAUGAAGCAUGAGCUUAUUUCCUCCUACCUGUUACGCACCCGUCUAGGGGGAAGGUGCGUAGCAUAAUGUUUGUUUUAGAAAUAAAAAAAAAUAAGGUGGAAUAUUUUCCCAGUCUCCAAAAAAACAAUGAACAGUUUGUAGAAAAAUUACAAAAGGGUUUGUAAUUUGUAAACACUAUUUACAAAAAUAAAAAGAGGCCACCACAUGGGCUAUUCAUUCAAGCAAAAAAAAAAAACAAACAAACAAAACAAUUGGAUACAAACUAAAGAGGCAUUAUAGCACUCAAACAAAAGAUCCUACCCAACAAAACCACAGCUUCUACAAAAAUGAACCUAAGUCUAACAAACAAAAAAACACUAUCUUAAUCUAAUCAGAAAACACGGGUAUCGAGUCACAAAGUUUGGAGUCUGGGAAAAACCACAGGGUGCUGCUGUCAAAACCCCCUUUUCGACCGGGGUGGAGCCCGUUCGAAGUUGGAGCCGGCGCCCGACUUGGCGCCGGUUUUUUGUGUUUCGACCACCGGAGCUGCGGCUCCGGGCUCCAAAAACUGGGGCCGUUUCGGGCACCAACUCGUUGCUGAUCCAGAGGUGGCCAGAGUUGAGAGCCGAGCACGUCACGGGCAGGGGGCGGGGUUACGGUGACCGACGAACAACAGCGGAAACACAGAACCGCCAUUUUUUAAAAAACAACAGCGGUGAAGCGGCUCUUGUUUGAGAAGACAACGUUUUGGAAACGGAAAAUGGAAAUCAAGAGCAAGCAGUGGACGGAGGAGGAGACCCAGUGCUUCCUGGCACUAUGGUCAUCAGCUGAGGUUCAGGGAAAGCUGGAUGGAGCCACAAGGACGAAGCCCAUCUUCCAGGGAAUCCAGCGGGAGAUGGAGGCACAGGGCUACCAGCGGACCCUUGACCAGCUGCUAAACAAACUAAAAAAGUUAAAAAAAAGAGUACAGAGAUCAGAGGAAGGAGCUGGGACGAAGCGGCAGCGGAAGGCAAAAGAGAUGUCCGCAUUUUGAGUUACUGGACUCUGUGCUUGGAGACCGACCCGCUAACCAAGCCACAGGGGCCCUCAACUCAUCCACAGCCGCGCUGGACUGGCCGCAGGACUUGCCGACACCCGCUCCUGAAACUGAAUUGUCGCUCUUGGAUGAGGAGGGCCAGAUGACAAGGUGCAGCUCACCAGUACCAUCCUGCAGCUCAUCAGUCCCAUCCCCCAGCUCCUCAGCGUCCACCCAGUCCAGAACCGGAAAAAGAAAGCGGAGUCCCUAUGCAGAACUCAUUGAAUAUAUGGACCGCGCUGAUCAAAAGUAUUUCGAGCAAGCGGAUCGGGACAAUGCCGUGAGCACUGCUGUGCUAGAUAAUAUGAGAGACACGAAGGGGCUGAUGGAGAGGAUGGUGGCAGCAGUGGAGCGAAUGGCAAACAAAUGAGCACAUGGACAUUUUUUUGUUGUUUUUUUUUGUAAAUACUUUUGGAUUUGUUUUUGUGUGGUGUUUUUUAAAUUGUUAUUUAUAAGUGUGUGCAUAAAGACUUUGUUGAGAGA
Long non-coding RNA from Amphiprion ocellaris (clown anemonefish), 1613 nucleotides. RefSeq lists it as uncharacterized. Lineage: Eukaryota; Metazoa; Chordata; Actinopteri; Pomacentridae. The transcript is spliced from 3 exons. The record is from RefSeq and is a predicted model, not a curated record.